Molecule: long non-coding RNA, 1517 nt
Organism: Gordionus sp. m RMFG-2023
Lineage: Eukaryota; Metazoa; Nematomorpha; Gordioida; Chordodea; Parachordodidae
Exons: 3
Source: RefSeq, a predicted model, not a curated record
CAUAAAUUUACUUUAAAAAAAUUGUAACAAAGAAAUUUAUUGUUUUCAACUAUGGGAUCUAUUUUAUCAAUGUUCCUAUACAAAAAUGGAAAAGUAGAAUUAGAAAAAUCAAAAUCUCCUUUCAAAGCAACUAGAACAAAUAUGAAUAGUGUUUACGGAACAGAAGAUUCAAUCGUAAGCCAAAAUAAUUCUGACCAUAAAACUCCCUUUAAAUAUUUAUCUUCUCUUGAUCCACGUUCACCCACAGAAGGUAUACCUAGGACACCUAUUUUUAAAACACCACCCUCUCUAUGACAGCUUUCUACCAUCUGAAUUAUGUAAUAAUUGAAUUGUGAUAUGAUGACCUUUUUUACAAAUUAUUCAUAUUGUAAUAUUUAAUAUUGACUUUGUACAACUAUUUACCAUAUCCAAUUAAUAUAAUAUUAUAUUUAAUAUAUGUUUUUAUAAUGUAUAAAGUUAUUUGUAUUUUAUGAACUGGCAAAUCUUUCUUUAAAGUUAAACAUAAUUAUUAACCCUAUGUUUAAAAAAGAGUUUUAAAUGACGUAAAUCAAUAAUUAUUAGAAGUGUUAGUAAUUUUUUAUAUAUUUUGAACAUCCUUUUAUGGAACUAACGGUCUCUCCUUCCACUUUAAUGAGGACUUAUUUUUUUUAGGGAUAUUUAUUAAAAUUCUCUGAGACCUUUUUUUAAAAAAGUUUUGGUUUGUUUAUACAAAAAGUUUCCCUUAUUUUUGUGAUUAGUUCAAAGCUCUGAUAAAUACAUACAUUUUUAUUUAUUUUAAAAUGAGAUUCUUGAAAUUUAUUAGAAAACUAUCUUCCUCAUGGCAUUUUUACAUUUUAUUUUUGAAAUUAAAUAUUCUACUUAUUCCGAUAGUGAUCUGAUAUACUAGCCUUCAGCAACGGUUCCUUUUUACCAAAUAAGAUUUUCAUAAUUUUUUUAGAAAAAAACGACGACUCUAAUAGAGGCUAAUAUUUUAGACGGCAUAUAUUGCUUGUGGCCUUCAUAUUAAAUAAUAUUAGAAUUCAUGAUGCUCUCAUUGAUCUCUUUUUAAAAAAAUAUAUAAAUUUAUAUAUUUUUUAAAACAAAAAUACCUUUUUUAUAUUUUUUUUUAUAAAUUGUGUUUUUUAUAUUAAAGAUUAUUAUUUUUUCAAAUUUAUAUUAGACUUAAUAUCAUAUAAGAUUUAUGUUAUGUGCUGAACUUGAGAUAUUUUUUUAUUUGUGAUUUUUUAACCUAGAUUCUAAACAAAUAUCGAAAUAUUCUAUUCAUAUUUGAUGUAUUCAUAUUCGAAGAAUACAAAUAAAUUGAAAAUUCAUUUCAAAAAUAAUUUGUAAGUUUUUGUAGAUGCUUUUUUAUCAAUAAACACAGAAUUUUCUUGUUUUAAAUUGAAAUUUGAAACACAAUUCAUAGCAUAUUUUCUUUUUAUAAUUAUAAAAACAAGACAAAUUAUUUAUGUAAAAUAUUUUAUACACCAAAUUUAUUGAUCUAUUAUUUCAGAAUAAAAUAUAUAACUACCAGUCAA